RNAcentral lists this ribosomal RNA (460 nucleotides) under uncultured bacterium. Its description in RNAcentral is "partial 16S ribosomal RNA". It matches the Rfam family "Bacterial small subunit ribosomal RNA", at positions 338 to 795 of the family's 1533-position model. The record is from RNAcentral.
CCUACGGGUGGCAGCAGUGAGGAAUAUUGGUCAAUGGCCGGAAGGCUGAACCAGCCAUGCCGCGUGAAGGUCAGUGCCCUAUGGGCGUUAAACUUCUUUUGUGCGGGAGCAAUAAUGGUCACGUGUGGCCAGACGAGAGUACCGUACGAAUAAGCAUCGGCUAACUCCGUGCCAGCAGCCGCGGUAAUACGGGGAUGGCAAGCGUUAUACGGAUUUUUUGGGUUUAAAGGGGGCGUAGGCUGUGAGGUAAGUCAGCGGUGAAAUGCCCCGGCUCAACGGGGUGAAGUGCCAUUGAUACUGCCAUGCUGGAGUGCGGAUGCCGUGGGAGGAAUGUGUGGUGUAGCGGUGAAAUGCAUAGAGAUCACACAGAACACCGAUUGCGAAGGCAUCUCGCGAAUCCGCGAUUGACGCUGAUGCACGAAAGCGUGGGUAUCAAACAGGAUUAGAUACCCGGGUAGUC